GAUGCUCAUUUCAGCAGCAUGUGCUAAAAUUGGGACGAUACAGAAAAUGUUAGAAUGGCCUCUGAGUAAGAAUGAUGCUAGUUUGUGAAGCAUUCCGUAGCUUU
Molecule: small nuclear RNA, 104 nt
Organism: Cavia porcellus (domestic guinea pig)
Lineage: Eukaryota; Metazoa; Chordata; Mammalia; Rodentia; Caviidae
Source: Ensembl